This 306-nucleotide unclassified non-coding RNA is filed under the name plant metagenome. RNAcentral's name for it is "partial contains 5.8S ribosomal RNA, internal transcribed spacer 2, and large subunit ribosomal RNA". The stretch from base 1 to 105 matches the Rfam family "5.8S ribosomal RNA", at positions 50 to 154 of the family's 154-position model. The record is from RNAcentral.
GAAAUGCGAUAAGUAAUGUGAAUUGCAGAAUUCAGUGAAUCAUCGAAUCUUUGAACGCACAUUGCGCCCGCCAGUAUUCUGGCGGGCAUGCCUGUCCGAGCGUCAUUUCAACCAUCAAGCCCCCGGGCUUGUGUUGGGGACCUGCGGCUGCCCGCAGGCCCUGAAAACCAGUGGCGGGCUCGCUGUCACACCGAGCGUAGUAGCAAUCACCUCGCUCAGGGCGUGCUGCGGGUUCCGGCCGUUAAACAGCCUUACAAGACCCAAGGUUGACCUCGGAUCAGGUAGGAAGACCCGCUGAACUUAAGC